UCUAGAACUCGAGAUAUAGGCUGAACACUGAACAAUGUUUGGGCUGUAGGACAGAUUCUGACUUCUCUUUUGUUGCUAUAAUUUGAACUUAAAAACAACCGUUUUGAAUCUUGGAUUCUUCAUGAAAGUUUUAGGCCUAUGUCUUAGCUUUCCAUG
Populus trichocarpa (black cottonwood) is the source of this 156-nucleotide non-coding RNA. NCBI's taxonomy places the organism in Eukaryota, Viridiplantae, Streptophyta, Magnoliopsida, Malpighiales, Salicaceae. The record is from Rfam.